RNAcentral lists this ribosomal RNA (406 nucleotides) under uncultured bacterium. RNAcentral's name for it is "partial 16S ribosomal RNA". It matches the Rfam family "Bacterial small subunit ribosomal RNA", at positions 29 to 526 of the family's 1533-position model. The record is from RNAcentral.
AUUGAACGCUGGCGGCAGGCCUAACACAUGCAAGUCGAACGAGUGGCGGACGGGUGAGUAAUGUCUGGGAAACUGCCUGAUGGAGGGGGAUAUCUACUGGAAACGGUAGCUAAUACCGCAUAACAUCAGAUGUGCCCAGAGUGGAGUGGCUUGUUGGUGGGGUAACGGCGCACCAAGGCGCCGAUCCCUAGCUGGUCUGAGCGGAGGACCAGCCACACUGGAACUGAGACACGGUCCAGACGCGUACGGUAGGCAGCAGUGGGGCAUAUUGCACAAUGGGCGAAAGCCUGAUGCAGCCAGGCCGCGGGUAUGAAGAAGGCCUUCGGGUUGUAAAGUACUUUCAGCGGGGAGGCGUUACCCGCAGAAGAAGCACCGGCUAACUCCGUGCCAGCAGCCGCGGUAAUAC